Molecule: ribosomal RNA, 253 nt
Filed under: uncultured bacterium
Lineage: Bacteria
Description: partial 16S ribosomal RNA
Rfam family: Bacterial small subunit ribosomal RNA
Source: RNAcentral
UACAGGGGGGGCAAGCAUUGUUCGGAAUUACUGGGCGUAAAGGGUUCGUAGGUGGCCAACUAAGUCAGACGUGAAAUCCCUCAGCUUAACUGGGGAACUGCGUCUGAUACUGGAUGGCUUGAGUGUAGGAGAGGAAUGCGGAAUUCCAGGUGUAGCGGUGAAAUGCGUAGAUAUCGGGAGGAACACCAGUGGCGAAGGCGACUUCCUGGCCUGUUCUUGACGCUGAGGCGCGAAAGCUAGGGUAGCAAACGGG